This 264-nucleotide long non-coding RNA is filed under the name Elaeis guineensis (African oil palm). RNAcentral's name for it is "long non-coding RNA (EGUI_LNC021256)". Lineage: Eukaryota; Viridiplantae; Streptophyta; Magnoliopsida; Arecales; Arecaceae. The record is from RNAcentral.
UACUAUUCUGAUCCUAUUGAAGAUCCACUUACACUCUAUGGGCAUUACCCCUUCGAGUGGAUCAACGAGCGUCUAUACACCAUUGACCAUUAUGGACUUCAUUUUAGAUUCUAUAGCUCCAAGCCAUUAAUCAAAGUCGAACCUCUGUAUGGCAUCCAUGUAGGUGAUUAAAUCUUUGUUGUUCUCAUUGAGUUCAACAGGAUCACAUCUCGGAUCUAGAUACCAAAGUAUCUAUUCGACGGACGUGAUACUUUAUCGAAUCUC